UCCGGCUUAUCACCGGCAGUAUCCUUAAAGUACCCGGCAUUACCCACUGGUAACUAAGGAUAAGGGUUGCGCUCGUUGCGGGACUUAACCCAACAUCUCACGACACGAGCUGACGACAGCCAUGCAACACCUGUGAUAGUCCAGCCGAACUGACUGGCUAGUUUCUUAGCCAUACGACUAUCAUGUCAAGGCCUGGUAAGGUUUUUCGCGUAGCAUCGAAUUAAACCACAUGUUCCACCGCUUGUGCGGGUCCCCGUCAAUUCCUUUGAGUUUUAAUCUUGCGACCGUACUUCCCAGGCGGAGUGCUUAACGCGUUAGCUACGACACUGAGAUCAAAGUCCCAAUAUCUAGCACUCAUCGUUUACUGCGUGGACUAC
RNAcentral lists this unclassified non-coding RNA (377 nucleotides) under uncultured Candidatus Midichloriaceae bacterium. Its description in RNAcentral is "contains 16S-23S intergenic spacer region". The record is from RNAcentral. Lineage: Bacteria; Pseudomonadati; Pseudomonadota; Alphaproteobacteria; Rickettsiales; Candidatus Midichloriaceae.